RNAcentral lists this non-coding RNA (30 nucleotides) under Rattus norvegicus (Norway rat). Lineage: Eukaryota; Metazoa; Chordata; Mammalia; Rodentia; Muridae. The record is from RNAcentral.
UGCUCACGGCUAUGAUGUCAUUACUCCUCC